GACGAACGCUGGCGGCGUGCCUAAUACAUGCAAGUAGAACGCUGAAAAGAGGAGCUUGCUCUUCUUGGAUGAGUUGCGAACGGGUGAGUAACGCGUAGGUAACCUGCCUUGUAGCGGGGGAUAACUAUUGGAAACGAUAGCUAAUACCGCAUAACAAUGGAUGACCCAUGUCAUUUAUUUGAAAGGGGCAAAUGCUCCACUACAAGAUGGACCUGCGUUGUAUUAGCUAGUAGGUGAGGUAACGGCUCACCUAGGCGACGAUACAUAGCCGACCUGAGAGGGUGAUCGGCCACACUGGGACUGAGACACGGCCCAGACUCCUACGGGAGGCAGCAGUAGGGAAUCUUCGGCAAUGGGGGCAACCCUGACCGAGCAACGCCGCGUGAGUGAAGAAGGUUUUCGGAUCGUAAAGCUCUGUUGUAAGUCAAGAACGAGUGUGAGAGUGGAAAGUUCACACUGUGACGGUAGCUUACCAGAAAGGGACGGCUAACUACGUGCCAGCAGCCGCGGUAAUACGUAGGUCCCGAGCGUUGUCCGGAUUUAUUGGGCGUAAAGCGAGCGCAGGCGGUUUGAUAAGUCUGAAGUUAAAGGCUGUGGCUCAACCAUAGUUCGCUUUGGAAACUGUCAAACUUGAGUGCAGAAGGGGAGAGUGGAAUUCCAUGUGUAGCGGUGAAAUGCGUAGAUAUAUGGAGGAACACCGGUGGCGAAAGCGGCUCUCUGGUCUGUAACUGACGCUGAGGCUCGAAAGCGUGGGGAGCGAACAGGAUUAGAUACCCUGGUAGUCCACGCCGUAAACGAUGAGUGCUAGGUGUUGGAUCCUUUCCGGGAUUCAGUGCCGCAGCUAACGCAUUAAGCACUCCGCCUGGGGAGUACGACCGCAAGGUUGAAACUCAAAGGAAUUGACGGGGGCCCGCAUAAGCGGUGGAGCAUGUGGUUUAAUUCGAAGCAACGCGAAGAACCUUACCAGGUCUUGACAUCCCGAUGCUAUUUCUAGAGAUAGAAAGUUACUUCGGUACAUCGGUGACAGGUGGUGCAUGGUUGUCGUCAGCUCGUGUCGUGAGAUGUUGGGUUAAGUCCCGCAACGAGCGCAACCCCUAUUGUUAGUUGCCAUCAUUCAGUUGGGCACUCUAGCGAGACUGCCGGUAAUAAACCGGAGGAAGGUGGGGAUGACGUCAAAUCAUCAUGCCCCUUAUGACCUGGGCUACACACGUGCUACAAUGGUUGGUACAACGAGUUGCGAGUCGGUGACGGCAAGCUAAUCUCUUAAAGCCAAUCUCAGUUCGGAUUGUAGGCUGCAACUCGCCUACAUGAAGUCGGAAUCGCUAGUAAUCGCGGAUCAGCACGCCGCGGUGAAUACGUUCCCGGGCCU
RNAcentral lists this ribosomal RNA (1369 nucleotides) under uncultured bacterium. RNAcentral's name for it is "bacterial SSU rRNA". It matches the Rfam family "Bacterial small subunit ribosomal RNA", at positions 28 to 1381 of the family's 1533-position model. The record is from RNAcentral.